RNAcentral lists this ribosomal RNA (452 nucleotides) under uncultured bacterium. Its description in RNAcentral is "bacterial SSU rRNA". It matches the Rfam family "Bacterial small subunit ribosomal RNA", at positions 329 to 795 of the family's 1533-position model. The record is from RNAcentral.
UGCCAGACUCCUACGGGAGGCAGCAGUGGGGAAUAUUGCACAAUGGGCGAAAGCCUGAUGCAGCAACGCCGCGUGAAGGAAGAAGGGUUUCGGCUCGUAAACUUCUAUCAACAGGGACGAAAGAAAUGACGGUACCUGAAUAAGAAGCCCCGGCUAACUACGUGCCAGCAGCCGCGGUAAUACGUAGGGGGCAAGCGUUAUCCGGAUUUACUGGGUGUAAAGGGAGCGUAGACGGCAAUGCAAGCCAGAUGUGAAAGCCCGGGGCUCAACCCCGGGACUGCAUUUGGAACUGUGUAGCUGGAGUGUCGGAGAGGCAGGCGGAAUUCCUAGUGUAGCGGUGAAAUGCGUAGAUAUUAGGAGGAACACCAGUGGCGAAGGCGGCUUACUGGACUGUAACUGACGUUGAGGCUCGAAAGCGUGGGGAGCAAACAGGAUUAGAUACCCCCGUACAC